UUAAAUCUUCAGGGCAGGGUGUAAUUCCCGACCGGUGGUAAAGUCCACGAGCUGCUAAUGCAGUUGACUUGGUGAAAUUCCAAGACCGACAGUAAAGUCUGGAUGAAAGAAGAAAAAU
Molecule: non-coding RNA, 118 nt
Filed under: Gottschalkia acidurici
Lineage: Bacteria; Bacillati; Bacillota; Tissierellia; Tissierellales; Gottschalkiaceae
Also listed under: 1 other name
Description: Clostridium acidurici FMN sequence
Rfam family: FMN riboswitch aptamer (RFN element)
About the family: The RFN element is a highly conserved domain that is found frequently in the 5'-untranslated regions of prokaryotic mRNAs that encode for flavin mononucleotide (FMN) biosynthesis and transport proteins.
Source: RNAcentral